CAGGCUGCAACUCGCCUGCAUGAAGUCGGAAUUGCUAGUAAUCGCGGAUCAGCAUGCCGCGGUGAAUACGUUCUCGGGCCUUGUACACACCGCCCGUCACACCAUGGGAGUCGGUAACACCCGAAGUCUGUAGCCUGACGCAAGAGGGCGCAGCCGAAGGUGGGAUUGAUGACUGGGGUGAAGUCGUAACAAGGUAGC
This 198-nucleotide ribosomal RNA is filed under the name uncultured bacterium. RNAcentral describes it as "partial 16S ribosomal RNA". It matches the Rfam family "Bacterial small subunit ribosomal RNA", at positions 1301 to 1500 of the family's 1533-position model. The record is from RNAcentral.